GGUAGGGUAGUUCAGAGGUACAGCACUUGCCUAGCACGUAAGAGACCCUGGGUUCUAACCCCAGCAUCA
This 69-nucleotide transfer RNA is filed under the name Dipodomys ordii (Ord's kangaroo rat). It matches the Rfam family "tRNA". Rfam says of the family: Transfer RNA (tRNA) molecules are approximately 80 nucleotides in length. The record is from Rfam by way of RNAcentral. Lineage: Eukaryota; Metazoa; Chordata; Mammalia; Rodentia; Heteromyidae.